GACGAACGCUGGCGGCGCGCCUAACACAUGCAAGUCGAACGAGCGAGAGAGAGCUUGCUUUCUUGAGCGAGUGGCGAACGGGUGAGUAACGCGUGAGGAACCUGCCUCAAAGAGGGGGACAACAGUUGGAAACGACUGCUAAUACCGCAUAAGCCCACGGUGCCGCAUGGCACAGAGGGAAAAGGAGCAAUCCGCUUUGAGAUGGCCUCGCGUCCGAUUAGCUAGUUGGUGAGGUAACGGCCCACCGAGGCGACGAUCGGUAGCCGGACUGAGAGGUUGAACGGCCACAUUGGGACUGAGACACGGCCCAGACUCCUACGGGAGGCAGCAGUGGGGAAUAUUGCACAAUGGGGGAAACCCUGAUGCAGCGACGCCGUGUGGAGGAAGAAGGUCUUCGGAUUGUAAACUCCUGUUGUUGGGGAAGAUAAUGACGGUACCCAACAAGGAAGUGACGGCUAACUACGUG
RNAcentral lists this ribosomal RNA (466 nucleotides) under uncultured bacterium. RNAcentral describes it as "partial 16S ribosomal RNA". It matches the Rfam family "Bacterial small subunit ribosomal RNA", at positions 28 to 507 of the family's 1533-position model. The record is from RNAcentral.